UUGGGGCUUCCUGUUCUGGAAGGACCUGCGGGGAAGAUCUCGGGAGGGAGUCGGGGAGCGGAAAGGGAAAGGGAAGCUGCGCGAGGAAGAGGAAGAAAAGAAGAAAAUUCUCGAGGACGCUUCGUCCGCUACGAGAUUCAAUUCCUCCCGCCGCGGCGAUCCCUUCCUUUCCAGGAUUCCGGUCGUAGGCGACUGCGCCGCCGUCCCUGUAUACUUUGGCCGUCUGAGUCGACGGGGAGAGGAGGAGAGGGC
This 252-nucleotide long non-coding RNA is filed under the name Spirodela polyrhiza (greater duckweed). RNAcentral's name for it is "long non-coding RNA (SPOL_LNC002303)". The record is from RNAcentral. Lineage: Eukaryota; Viridiplantae; Streptophyta; Magnoliopsida; Alismatales; Araceae.